Molecule: ribosomal RNA, 775 nt
Filed under: uncultured Neocallimastigales
Lineage: Eukaryota; Fungi; Neocallimastigomycota; Neocallimastigomycetes; Neocallimastigales
Description: partial large subunit ribosomal RNA
Rfam family: Eukaryotic large subunit ribosomal RNA
Source: RNAcentral
GUACACGCUGUGACUAGCAUAUCAAUAAGCGGAGGAAAAGAAACUAACAAGGAUUCCCCUAGUAACGGCGAGUGAAGCGGGAAGAGCUCAAAUUUGAAAUCUUAAAGGGUUUCCCUUUACGAAUUGUAGUUUAAAGAAGUGUUUUCUGUUGAGGUUUUGGUAAAAGUUCUUUGGAAUAGGACAUCAUAGAGGGUGAGAAUCCCGUAUUUGACCUUUACUUUCAACUUUGUGAUACACUUUCAAAGAGUCGGAUUGUUUGGGAAUGCAGUCCAAAAUGGGUGGUAAAUUUCAUCUAAAGCUAAAUAUUGGCGAGAGACCGAUAGCGAACAAGUACCGUGAGGGAAAGAUGAAAAGAACUUUGAAAAGAGAGUUAAACAGUACGUGAAAUUGUCAAAAGGGAAGCGUUUGACACCAGUGUUGUUUUUCUGAAAAUCAAUUAAAGAACUGUUUAUGCUAAGUUGUUUAGACUUUAUCAGCUAAUCUGUUUAGUUUUGAGCUUUUCUUUAAUGCACUUUUCAGUUAACAAGUCAACAUCAAUUUCUUUUGCUGUAAAAAAGCUUGAGGAAGGUGGCUUGAGAUUCGUCUUAAGUGUUUAUAGCCUCUUGCCUAUGCAGUCGGAGAGAUUGAGGUCUGCAGCGUAGAUCCUUCGGGGCUAAAUGCAUUUGUGCUAAGUUAUAGCAUUUCAUAGACAACUUGUUGACUAUGAUUUGUCUUGUAGCUUACUCGCUUAUGUUAUUUUACCUACGCUUAGGAUGUUGACGCGCGUGUGUGCGUG